GGGAGAACAAUGGAGGUUCAGCUUUUAAGCAGGCGGUGCAUCGUCCGUCUCUCAGUCUGCUUGUGUGUCCUUCCUGUGCGAGUUCUUGGUCUUCUGAUGAAAUUCACACCUCAGAGCAAUCAGGAAGUGGAAAGCAGGUCAUCGCUGACAGACGAGGGAAGAGAAGACGAGCUUCACAAAGACCUGGAAUCAGCAGGUACAAUUGUUUCAAAGAAGACGACAGCGGGUUGGCAAUGAAGAACGAGCUUGUUGAAGCUCGUUUAAAGAUGGCUAGUCAGGUCACGAGAGUAAAAGAGAACUCACAACACGUGUGGAGGUCCGAUGGUGCUGCACAUCCCCCCCAAAAACACCGGACCUGUGACCCCGAACACGCCGCCGAGGAGACGCUCAGCUGCUAGAAUCUUCCGGCCAAUCACCUUGAAUCCAAUGGAGAUUCUGUGGAAAGAACCAAAAACAGGAUUAAUAGAAGCCAACGGAACCUUUGAGGUGUUUGAGUGAAUGAGCUGAAAUCACACAGGAGGCGUCACGAAGCUUCAUCAGCAACGAAGGCUUUCGUACCAACACUUUAUUACACAUAUUACACUAUUACACAUUUCUGAAAGACUCUGUUAUCAACAUCUGAUGAACAUUGUGCCAAAUGCACCUUUAGAAAUAUCUUUACUGAGAAAAAGAGACGUGUUUCGUAC
Molecule: long non-coding RNA, 686 nt
Organism: Gasterosteus aculeatus aculeatus (three-spined stickleback)
Lineage: Eukaryota; Metazoa; Chordata; Actinopteri; Perciformes; Gasterosteidae
Source: Ensembl